CUACACUUGACAUGCCUCUUGGGACUUUCAGAGAUGAUUGUUUUCGGUUCGGCCGGGGAGUGCACAGGUGCUGCAUGGCUGUCGUCAGCUCGUGUCGUGAGAUGUUGGGUUAAGUCCCGCAACGAGCGCAACCCUUAUCGUAUGUUGCCAGCAUUUAGUUGGGCACUCAUGCGAGUCUGCCGGUGAUAAGCCGGAGGAAGGCGGGGAGGACGUCAAGUCAUCAUGGCCCUUACGUGUAGGGCUACAAACGUGGUACAAUGGUGGUGACAAUGGGCAGUGAGGUCGUGAGGCCAAGC
RNAcentral lists this ribosomal RNA (296 nucleotides) under uncultured bacterium. RNAcentral describes it as "partial 16S ribosomal RNA". It matches the Rfam family "Bacterial small subunit ribosomal RNA", at positions 975 to 1268 of the family's 1533-position model. The record is from RNAcentral.